This 465-nucleotide ribosomal RNA is filed under the name Vreelandella stevensii. Its description in RNAcentral is "partial 16S ribosomal RNA". It matches the Rfam family "Bacterial small subunit ribosomal RNA", at positions 338 to 795 of the family's 1533-position model. The record is from RNAcentral. Lineage: Bacteria; Pseudomonadati; Pseudomonadota; Gammaproteobacteria; Oceanospirillales; Halomonadaceae.
CCUACGGGCGGCAGCAGUGGGGAAUAUUGGACAAUGGGGGCAACCCUGAUCCAGCCAUGCCGCGUGUGUAAAGAAGGCCCUCGGGUUGUAAAGCACUUUCAGUGAGGAAGAACGCCUGGUGGUUAAUACCCAUCAGGAAAGACAUCACUCACAGAAGAAGCACCGGCUAACUCCGUGCCAGCAGCCGCGGUAAUACGGAGGGUGCGAGCGUUAAUCGGAAUUACUGGGCGUAAAGCGCGCGUAGGUGGCUUGAUAAGCCGGUUGUGAAAGCCCCGGGCUCAACCUGGAAACGGCAUCCGGAACUGUCAAGCUAGAGUGCAGGAGAGGAAGGUAGAAUUCCCGGUGUAGCGGUGAAAUGCGUAGAGAUCGGGAGGAAUACCAGUGGCGAAGGCGGCCUUCUGGACUGACACUGACACUGAGGUGCGAAAGCGUGGGUAGCAAACAGGAUUAGAUACCCCAGUAGUC